GGAAUUGUAGCUUAAGUACAAGAGCGUUGAGCUUUUAACUCAAAUGUAAAAUAAUGGUUUUCGAUUCUA
Molecule: transfer RNA, 69 nt
Filed under: Magallana nippona (Iwagaki oyster)
Lineage: Eukaryota; Metazoa; Mollusca; Bivalvia; Ostreida; Ostreidae
Description: tRNA-Lys
Rfam family: tRNA
About the family: Transfer RNA (tRNA) molecules are approximately 80 nucleotides in length.
Source: RNAcentral